This 464-nucleotide ribosomal RNA is filed under the name uncultured bacterium. RNAcentral describes it as "bacterial SSU rRNA". It matches the Rfam family "Bacterial small subunit ribosomal RNA", at positions 338 to 795 of the family's 1533-position model. The record is from RNAcentral.
CCUACGGGCCGCAGCAGUGGGGAAUAUUGCACAAUGGGCGCAAGCCUGAUGCAGCCAUGCCGCGUGUGUGAAGAAGGCCUUCGGGUUGUAAAGCACUUUCAGCGAGGAGGAAGGUGGUGAGCUUAAUACGCUCAUCAAUUGACGUUACUCGCAGAAGAAGCACCGGCUAACUCCGUGCCAGCAGCCGCGGUAAUACGGAGGGUGCAAGCGUUAAUCGGAAUUACUGGGCGUAAAGCGCACGCAGGCGGUUUGUUAAGUCAGAUGUGAAAUCCCCGGGCUCAACCUGGGAACUGCAUUUGAAACUGGCAAGCUAGAGUCUCGUAGAGGGGGGUAGAAUUCCAGGUGUAGCGGUAAAAUGCGUAGAGAUCUGGAGGAAUACCGGUGGCAAGGCGGCUCCCUGGACGAAGACUGACGCUCAGGUGCGAAAGCGUGGGGAGUAAACAGGAUUAGAUACCCCGGUAGUC